GGGAGAGUGGCCGAGUGGUUAAAAGCGACAGACUGCAAAUCUGUUGAAGGUUUUCUACGUAGGUUCGAAUCCCGCCUCUCCCA
This 83-nucleotide transfer RNA is filed under the name Dryopteris crassirhizoma. RNAcentral's name for it is "tRNA-Cys". It matches the Rfam family "tRNA". From Rfam's summary of the family: Transfer RNA (tRNA) molecules are approximately 80 nucleotides in length. Their secondary structure includes four short double-helical elements and three loops (D, anti-codon, and T loops). Further hydrogen bonds mediate the characteristic L-shaped molecular structure. tRNAs have two regions of fundamental functional importance: the anti-codon, which is responsible for specific mRNA codon recognition, and the 3' end, to which the tRNAs corresponding amino acid is attached (by aminoacyl-tRNA synthetases). tRNAs cope with the degeneracy of the genetic code in two manners: having more than one tRNA (with a specific anti-codon) for a particular amino acid; and 'wobble' base-pairing, i.e. permitting non-standard base-pairing at the 3rd anti-codon position. The record is from RNAcentral. Lineage: Eukaryota; Viridiplantae; Streptophyta; Polypodiopsida; Polypodiales; Dryopteridaceae.